AGGUCAAGCUACAAAGGGCGCAUGGUGAAUGCCUUGGCACUAGGAGCCGAAGAAGGACGCGAUAAGCUGCGAUAAGCCUUGGGUAGCCGCAAAUAGGCUGAGAUCCAGGGAUUUCCGAAUGAGGAAACUCACAUGGGUAACCCCAUGUAUCAUGCACUGAAUACAUAGGUGUAUGAGGGUAAACCCGGGGAACUGAAACAUCUAAGUACCCGGAGGAAGAGAAAGAAAAAUCGAUUUCCUAAGUAGCGGCGAGCGAACGGGAAAGAGCCCAAACCAGAAACUUGUUUCUGGGGUUGUGGAUAGAUCAUAAAAGAAGAGGUAUCUUAAUCGAAGAGGGCUGGAACGCCCUACCAUAGAAGGUAAUAGUCCUGUAGAUAAAAAGAGAAAACUUCGAGAUCUAAUCCAGAGUACCACGAGACACGUGAAACCUUGUGGGAAGCAGGGAGGACCACCUCCCAAGGCUAAAUACUACCUAGUGACCGAUAGUGAAGCAGUACCGUGAGGGAAAGGUGAAAAGAACCCCGGAAGGGGAGUGAAAUAGAACCUGAAACCGUGUGCCUACAACCGAUCGGAGCACGUUAAAGUGUGACGAUGUGCUUUUUGUAGAACGAGCCAGCGAGUUACGCUAUGUAGCAAGGUUAAGUACUUAAGGUAUGGAGCCGAAGGGAAACCGAGUCUGAAAAGGGCGAAAAGUUGCAUGGUGUAGACCCGAAACCGGGUGACCUAUCCAUGGCCAGGUUGAAGCGAGAGUAAAAUCUCGUGGAGGACCGAACCACGUUGGUGUUGAAAAACCAUGGGAUGAGCUGUGGAUAGCGGAGAAAUUCCAAUCGAACUCGGAGAUAGCUGGUUCUCCUCGAAAUAGCUUUAGGGCUAGCGUCGUGUAAUUGAGUAAUGGAGGUAGAGCACUGAAUGGGCUAGGGGCUAUAGUAGUUACCGAACCCUAUCAAACUCCGAAUGCCAUAUACUUGUAUCACGGCAGUCAGACUGCGAAUGAUAAGAUCCGUAGUCAAAAGGGAAACAGCCCAGACCAUCAGCUAAGGUCCCAAAGUGUAAGUUAAGUGGAAAAGGAUGUGGGAUUUCUAAGACAACUAGGAUGUUGGCUUAGAAGCAGCCACUCAUUUAAAGAGUGCGUAAUAGCUCACUAGUCAAGAGAUCCUGCGCCGAAGAUGUCCGGGGCUCAAACUUACCACCGAAGCUAUGGGUGUACACUAUGUGUACGCGGUAGAGGAGCUUUCUGUAUGGGUUGAAGUCGUACCGUAAGGAGCGGUGGACUGUACAGAAGUGAGAAUGCUGGCAUAAGUAGCGAGAAAUAAGUGAGAAUCUUAUUGGCCGAAAACCUAAGGUUUCCUGAGGAAGGUUCGUCCGCUCAGGGUUAGUCGGGACCUAAGCCGAGGCCGAAAGGCGUAGGUGAUGGACAAUCGGUUGAUAUUCCGAUACCACCUAUUUACGUUUGAGAAAUGGGGUGACGCAGUAGGAUAAGAUGUGCGCACUAUUGGAUGUGCGUCUAAGCACUUAGGCAUGCUUGAUAGGCAAAUCCGUCGAGCUAAGCUGAGGUGUGAUGGGGAGCCAUUUAUGGCGAAGUAUCUGAUUCCACACUGCCAAGAAAAGCCUCUAUCGAGUGAAUAGGUGCCCGUACCGCAAACCGACACAGGUAGGUGAGGAGAGAAUCCUAAGGCCAUCGGAAGAAUUGCUGUUAAGGAACUCGGCAAAUUGACCCCGUAACUUCGGGAGAAGGGGUGCCUACGAAAGUAGGCCGCAGAGAAUAGGCCCAAGCAACUGUUUAGCAAAAACACAGGUCUCUGCUAAAGCGAAAGCUGAUGUAUAGGGGCUGACGCCUGCCCGGUGCUGGAAGGUUAAGGGGAACACUUAGCGUAAGCGAAGGUGUGAACUUAAGCCCCAGUAAACGGCGGCCGUAACUAUAACGGUCCUAAGGUAGCGAAAUUCCUUGUCGGGUAAGUUCCGACCCGCACGAAUGGCGUAAUGAUUUGGGCACUGUCUCAACAGCAAAUCCGGCGAAAUUGUAGUGCAAGUGAAGAUGCUUGCUACCCGCGAUUGGACGGAAAGACCCCGUAGAGCUUUACUGUAGCUUAGCAUUGAAUCUCGGUAUUGUCUGUACAGGAUAGGUGGGAGACUUGGAA
RNAcentral lists this ribosomal RNA (2138 nucleotides) under Clostridium botulinum. RNAcentral's name for it is "partial 23S ribosomal RNA". It matches the Rfam family "Bacterial large subunit ribosomal RNA", at positions 1 to 2161 of the family's 2925-position model. The record is from RNAcentral. Lineage: Bacteria; Bacillati; Bacillota; Clostridia; Eubacteriales; Clostridiaceae.